This 90-nucleotide transfer RNA is filed under the name Alphaproteobacteria bacterium. RNAcentral's name for it is "tRNA-Ser". It matches the Rfam family "tRNA". Rfam says of the family: Transfer RNA (tRNA) molecules are approximately 80 nucleotides in length. Their secondary structure includes four short double-helical elements and three loops (D, anti-codon, and T loops). The record is from RNAcentral. Lineage: Bacteria; Pseudomonadati; Pseudomonadota; Alphaproteobacteria.
GGAGAAGUGGCAGAGAGGCUGAAUGCGCCGCACUCGAAAUGCGGUAUGCUCGCAAGGGCAUCGGGGGUUCAAAUCCCUCCUUCUCCGCCA